GGAAGGUCAUAGCUUAGUGGCAGAGCAUCUGCUUUGUAUGCAGAAGGUCCCAGGUUCAAUCCCUGGCACCUCCA
Molecule: non-coding RNA, 74 nt
Organism: Elgaria multicarinata webbii
Lineage: Eukaryota; Metazoa; Chordata; Lepidosauria; Squamata; Anguidae
Source: the annotation of a RefSeq genome assembly